AGGUAAAUUUCCUUUUAGCAUAUUAAGUUGCUUGAAUGAAUUUUACAUGUUUUGUUCAAGUCUGGUAAUGAUAGUGUUUUAAAUCGUGCUCAAUCGUGCUUGGAUUAGCCACUGUCUCUUUUCCCCUUCUCCAGAUAAAAUUCCAAUGGAAAUAAUAAUUUGUCAAAUUUCUUGGCUAUUUCUCAAUAAGUUCGUUCUCGGCUUUGUCACGUCAGUAUAUGAAGUUUUGGUUUUCUUCUGUUUAUUUGACUCAUGACUGAGGUUAGUUCUUCUACGCUCAAGUGAUGCUCUGAAUGAGGACUCAAGGAGGAUUACGAUUCUAGUACCAAAUCCCAACUAAUAGGAGUGAGUUUUUAAUGAGUUGAUAACCAAUCCAAAAAUCAAGAUUUUAAUGAGUUGAUGUCUUACAAAAAGGAUUCUGCUGAAUUGGUAUUGAUAUGCAUUUGGAAGUAUGAUUUUAUUUGACAUACACCAAUCAGAAUUUUCUUCCUCGAAUUGAAUUGUUUUUUAUUUUUAAGAAAAUGUUGGUGAUGUUAAUGCUGCUGAAUUUUUGGCAUGGAUAUACAUAUAGGAGACUGUGGGGAUCUAUCUACUAUCCAUACGAGUAUUUUCAUUUUGUACCAUUCUGUAUUAUAUUUUUUUCUAGGAUCCUGACUAUGAUUUCAACAGGAAGAGCAAGUAGAAUAUCACAGUGAAGGCACUUAUUCUUGUUGGAGGGUUUGAAACAAGGUUGAGGCCAUUGACACUAAGUGUUCCCAAGCCGCCUGUUGAUUUUGCCAACAAACCUAUGAUCCUUCAUCAGAGGCUCUUAAGGCUAUCGGAGUCAAUGAAGUGGUUUUGGCUAUUAAUUAUCAACCAGAGGUGAAGAGAUGAAAGCUUCUGUAUUACCUCAACCGUACAAUGCUUAUUCGAGUAUAAAGAUUGAUGCUUCUGAAGUUUGGAGAACUAAUAACGGGCUCACUCCUUAUUUCUGUAGGUGAUGUUGAACUUCUUGUAGGAUUUUGAAACAAAGCUUGGGAUCAAGAUCACUUGCUUGCAAGAGACUGAGCCACUCGGCACUGCUGGUCCUCUGGCUCUUGCUAGGGACAAACUAAUAGAUGAAUCUGGUGAGCCAUUUUUUGUCCUCAACAGUGAUGUUAUAAGUGAAUACCCACUUAAGGAAAUGAUAGCAUUCCACAAAUCCAAUGGAGGGGAAGCCUGAUGAUCUAAUCGAUCCUAACGUUUGAUUUAUGUUUGUCACAUUUUUUUUUUCAUGUAAUAUUCACUUUUCGUUCACAUUUAUAAGCUUUCAAUUGUUAGCUUUUUAUUUGAUAAUCAACUUUAUGCAAUUAUUCACUUCACCAAUGAUUGUUAUAGAAACGAUAAAUUCUAUAUGUAAGAGAGAAUUGACAACUUUUGGGUUU
Carya illinoinensis is the source of this 1403-nucleotide RNA transcript. It is a transcript of the gene named mannose-1-phosphate guanylyltransferase 1-like, with no coding region annotated. The record is from RefSeq and is a predicted model, not a curated record. NCBI's taxonomy places the organism in Eukaryota, Viridiplantae, Streptophyta, Magnoliopsida, Fagales, Juglandaceae. The transcript is spliced from 2 exons.